AUUCCUACCUCUUAACUAGAACCGUUACCUCGGAUGUGACGUCAAAACCCAGCUUCCUGGAUAACCGGAAAGCGCAGUGAGCUAGAUGACGUCUUAAUCAGUUGUUUAUCCAAAGUAUCCAAACCGUCUCCAAAAGUCCUGCAGUAGGUUUAGGUGAUGUAAAGCUGUGAUGGACAGAGGGGCUGAGCAGGAUGUCCUCCCCAUCACGGAUUGAUUCAAGGCACCCAGAAAACGACAGAGCAGCUGUGGAAAAUUAAACUGGGUGUUGGAUAGAAAAGACAAAAACAAAGAGGUUUGUUUAUUUCUUCCACCGUCCUCAUGUCUCAACCUCUU
Non-coding RNA from Poecilia reticulata (guppy), 333 nucleotides. The record is from RefSeq and is a predicted model, not a curated record. NCBI's taxonomy places the organism in Eukaryota, Metazoa, Chordata, Actinopteri, Cyprinodontiformes, Poeciliidae.